GGGGGGGGGGGGCAAAGGCUGAACCAGGCCGAGAACUACAACAAACUUUCCAAAAAACCUUCAACCUUUUGGCUUGAUCUGCUGCAUAAAUACUUUGUUGAUGCACCAUAUGUCACGGUGGUCGGACAGCCAAGCCAACAACUACAAGAAGAGAUGGCACGGAUUGAGGCAUUGAGAUUGGAAUGUCAACGUGAACAGCUUGGACCACGAGGAUUGAUCAACUGCUCUACGUGCCUACAAAAAGCUAUCAAAGAGAAUGAAUGCGAGUCUCCACAAGAGCUUCUGAGCUGCUUCUGUGUUCCCAGCACAGACAGCAUCUUCUUUCAUCCCAUACAGCGGCACUCAACCGUGCUUGAAGAUAAAGAGCAAAGUGAUGACCUCAUCUUAACCAAUGUUCCUUUUCCCACCCAAGUUGAUCACAUUCACUCCAUCUUUGUUCGGAUAAUUGCAAUGUUGGACACGUCGACUGUACCUGCCUACCUGAAGCCUUACCUCACACUCUACUCUGAAAUUUUGUUUGAAUCACCCGUGAUGCGUGGUGAUGACAUUGUUUCUCACUCGGAGGUGAUCAGACAGCUGGCAGCUGAUACGGUCAAGUCGAGUGCCUCGCUGGGGAUUAAGGGUGGUCGUUUUCACUGUGGAGUACAUGGCCAGCUGCUGUGCUUGACACUGAAGGUAGAGAUGGACAAGUACCUAAAAGGUGUGCAGUGGUUGAAGGAACUUCUGCAUCAGGUUGUAAUUGUGCCUGAACGGGUGCAAAUGGUAGCCACAAAAAUCCUCAACGAAAUCCCAUGUCUGAAGCAAGAAGGCUGUGCUGUGGCCACAACAAUCAUAAAAGAGCUCAAUUUCAAUAGUGAGAGCAACCAUGUGACCUCUGGCAUGGUGAGACAGCAACAAUUCCUUUUGAAGCUGCUUGAGCGACUGCAGAAAGAGCCGUCAGAGGUACUCACAGAUCUUGAGACUUUGAAGAAUUUCUUGGUGGCACCAGAAAAUCUUCGUGUCCAUAUCUCGGCCAACAUGGAUUCUCUCAGCCAAAUAUUCCCUUCACCGCACAUGGCUCUUUGUUCUGCUCUGCUGAAGGACAACCAUCUUAAUAUGGCUAUUCUGCCAAACCCAUUGAAAGAGAGCCACUAUUUUCUGCGGCAGACGUCCCCCAUCGGUGUUAUUGUUGGUGUGGGUGCCGUUGAGUCAAGCUACCUAAUACAGACCGUGCCGUGCAUCACCAGCUGCCUGGAUCCUGAUCUACCCGCGAUUAUGGUUUUCAUCGAGUACCUCACGGCUCUUGAGGGCCCAAUGUGGAGACAGGUACGAGGCUUGGGUUUGGCAUAUCACUACAGCAUGCAGGUACAUCCCAGUGAAGGCCUACUGUACUUCAUGCUGUACAAGUCAAGUCAACUAGUGAGUGCCUAUAAGCAGGCCAUGGACAUUCUGGCUGAGUAUGUCUCUGAGGAGUCGAUGUGGGAGAUUAGUUCGGUUGAAGCCGCUGUAUCGAGCGUCAUCUACGAGAUUGUUGAGCGUGAAACCACCGUAUCCGAUGCUUCUUUGCAGUCACUGCUAGCCUCCUUUCGUGGCAUUGACAACAAAACAUUGUUGAAGAAAGUUUCACAGGUGAGAGUUGAGGAUUUGCGCCAUGUUGGCAGUCGAUAUUUUUCACAUCUUUUCAAUUCAGCAUUUGCCAACUGUGCUGUUGUCUGCAACCCAUCACGAGUUGAAGAAAUUUUCCAAGGAUUUCAAGGACUUUCAAGAGAUCUUGUUGUGUGGACGAAUUUGGACGACAAUUUUCAGUAACCUCGCUCGGAAUUGCAACCGGAUGCACUGAAUGCACUGAACCGAACAAAUGCACUGAAUAAUGGAAGUCAAAAUGUGCACCUCAGUUGUUCACUUAAUACCUGCAUGCUGCGUUGAAUCGUGCGUUACUAAGGUAAUGAGAAAAGUGAUGUGCACACACAUCAACUAACAAUGCAAAAUGAUUUUCUUUAGUUUGUUACAUGCAACUUUUCGUUUGUUUUAAUAUCUGUUUCAAAAUGCUAUGUGAAGGAUAAAUUGCCGCUGCAUGAUGAUAGCAUUUCUGAAUAAAACCGAGUGGCCAUUUUUGCCAUCGUUAUUAUUGAAUGCCUUCUUUUGUUACCUUGCUUUCAGUUAUCAAGCUUAUAAUUAUGAAAUCUGCCUCUAAUUAGUGUGGCAUACACCUAACGGAUGUCGUUAGUUGCAAAGACAAAAGCGAAUCGAUACCCAAAAUGCAAAGCAUAAACAACAUGGCAGAUGGUCGUUUGCUGUUUAAACAAUGCAAGGUAAUUCUGAAAUGGUAUUUGAAAUUCGAUUUUUUUUUAAAGUGGUAUACGAUUUGUGGACAUGAUUGUUUGGUCAGAUGAGGCAACAUUCAAGCUCAAUGGGACAGUGAACCGACAUAAUUGUGUGCAUUGUUCUUCUGAAAAUCCGAACAUUCAUGUCGAGAAGGCAGUGAAUUUACCAGGAUUUAGUUUGGUGUGGGGUGUCAUCCAGGGGUGUUGUGGGACCGUACUUUUUUGAAUAUACGGUUAUUGGUGCUGCAUACCUCCACAUGCUUGAGGUAUCCAUUGUGCCCACCGUUCAUAAGCUGAAUGGAGAUGAGGAAGUUUACUCCCAACAAGAUGGGGCACCCCCACAUUACCAUCGUGAUGUCAGGGCUUAUCUUGAUGACCCUUUCCCAGACUGGUGGAUAGGCCAAAGUGGAAGUGUUGAGUACCCCCCACAUUCACCUGAUUAAACUCCACCUUUUACUUGUGGGGCUAUGUGAAGGAUUUAGUGUACAGCAGAAAAACCAGCCACACUUCAGCAAAUAAGGAAUGAAAUUGAACAGUUUGUGUUUGUUGUAAGAAUAAUAGUAGAUACGUUGGUAAAUGUUUGUCACUCAGUUGUUUGCUGCUGUCACCAGUGCCUGGAAGCUGACGGUGGUCAUUUUAAACAUCUGCAAUAGUUCACCAUGUACCACAUACUAUUGUUUCUGCACACACGUAAUAUCGACCUUUUUGGAGGUGUGUAAUGGGUAGUUUUUUUUUUCUUAAAAUAUGUGAACAUCUUUUUGAGACACC
Long non-coding RNA from Eptatretus burgeri (inshore hagfish), 3071 nucleotides. The record is from Ensembl. Lineage: Eukaryota; Metazoa; Chordata; Myxini; Myxiniformes; Myxinidae.